GCUGUAGUACUGGAAGGUAUACCGGAUACAGUGCCAUAUAUUUCAGAAUCUAACUUUGUUUUCUUGUGAAUCUCUGAACCUCCUAAACCAAAUGCGCUGCAAUUUCUUCUAAUGUUGUCAAUCCCUAACAUGUCUGAGCAGACCGAUCCCAUCUGGCUAAAAGCGCUGCAAUUUCUUCUAAUAUUGUCAAUCCCUAACAUGUCUGAGCAGACCGAUCCCAUCUGGCUAAAAGUUUUAGGUUGAAACUCGGAAAUGUGGCACUGAUCUCUCUUGGAUCCUCUUUUUUCGUGUGCAG
This 295-nucleotide long non-coding RNA is filed under the name Nicotiana benthamiana. Its description in RNAcentral is "long non-coding RNA (NBEN_LNC031730)". The record is from RNAcentral. Lineage: Eukaryota; Viridiplantae; Streptophyta; Magnoliopsida; Solanales; Solanaceae.